This 527-nucleotide ribosomal RNA is filed under the name uncultured bacterium. RNAcentral describes it as "bacterial SSU rRNA". It matches the Rfam family "Bacterial small subunit ribosomal RNA", at positions 984 to 1509 of the family's 1533-position model. The record is from RNAcentral.
ACAUCCAGCGAACUUGGCAGAGAUGCCUUGGUGCCUUCGGGAACGCUGAGACAGGUGCUGCAUGGCUGUCGUCAGCUCGUGUUGUGAAAUGUUGGGUUAAGUCCCGNAACGAGCGCAACCCUUUAUCCCUUUGUUGCCAGCGAUUCGGUCGGGAACUCAAAGGAGACUGCCGGUGAUAAACCGGAGGAAGGUGGGGAUGACGUCAAGUCAUCAUGGCCCUUACGAGUAGGGCUACACACGUGCUACAAUGGCGCAUACAAAGAGAAGCGACCUCGCGAGAGCAAGCGGACCUCAUAAAGUGCGUCGUAGUCCGGAUCGGAGUCUGCAACUCGACUCCGUGAAGUCGGAAUCGCUAGUAAUCGUGGAUCAGAAUGCCACGGUGAAUACGUUCCCGGGCCUUGUACACACCGCCCGUCACACCAUGGGAGUGGGUUGCAAAAGAAGUAGGUAGCUUAACCUUCGGGAGGGCGCUUACCACUUUGUGAUUCAUGACUGGGGUGAAGUCGUAACAAGGUAAGCGUAGCGAG